This 277-nucleotide ribosomal RNA is filed under the name uncultured bacterium. Its description in RNAcentral is "partial 16S ribosomal RNA". It matches the Rfam family "Bacterial small subunit ribosomal RNA", at positions 28 to 307 of the family's 1533-position model. The record is from RNAcentral.
GACGAACGCUGGCGGCGUGCUUAACACAUGCAAGUCGAGCGGAAAGGCCCUUUCGGGGGUACUCGAGCGGCGAACGGGUGAGUAACACGUGAGUAAUCUGCCCUUCACUUGGGGAUAACCACCGGAAACGGUGGCUAAUACCCGAUAUGACAGUUGCCCGCAUGGGUGGUUGUGGAAAGUUUUUUCGGUGGGGGAUGUGCUCGCGGCCUAUCAGCUUGUUGGUGGGGUAAUGGCCUACCAAGGCUUCGACGGGUAGCCGGCCUGAGAGGGUGACCGG